This 1720-nucleotide ribosomal RNA is filed under the name Catenellopsis oligarthra. RNAcentral describes it as "SSU rRNA". It matches the Rfam family "Eukaryotic small subunit ribosomal RNA". Lineage: Eukaryota; Rhodophyta; Florideophyceae; Gigartinales; Catenellopsidaceae. The record is from RNAcentral.
UGGUAUAUGCUUGUCUCAAGGACUAAGCCAUGCAAGUGUAAGUAUGAGUGAGUUGUACAACGAAACUGCGAAUGGCUCGGUAAAACAGCUAUAGUUUCUUCGAUGGUAACUUGCUACACGGAUACCCGUAGUAACACUAGAGCUAAUACGUGCCGGAAAGCGGUGGCAACGCCGUGGUAUAAAUUGGAGGUACAAGCCAAUGAAUGGUGAUUCACGAUUUCUUUUCUGAUUGCGCGAAUAGCGCGACGCAUCGUUCAAAUUUCUGACCUAUCAACUUUGGAUGGUAAGGUAUUGUCUUACCAUGGUUUUGACGGGUAACGGACCGUGGGUGCGGGACUCCGGAGAGGGAGCCUGAGAAACGGCUACCACGUCCAAGGAAGGCAGCAGGCGCGCAAAUUACCCAAUCGGGACACCCGGAGGUAGUGACAAGAAAUAGCAAUAGGGGGCCCUAUGGGUUUUCUAUUUGGAAUGAGAACAAGGUAAACAGCUUAUCGAGGAACCAGCAGAGGGCAAGUCUGGUGCCAGCAGCCGCGGUAAUUCCAGCUCUGUAAGCGUAUACCAAAGUUGUUGCAGUUAAAACGCUCGUAGUCGGAGGUUGCUGCGGCGGUGGGGCGGGAUGAAAAUCUCGUUCCGGCGGUGCGGCUUUGUGGAUGCGGGCCCGGCGCUGCUUAAGUGGAGCGGCGGGUGCGCGCCACCGUUUACUGUGAAAAAAUUGGAGUGUUCAAAGCAGGCGGUUGCCGUGAACACAUUAGCAUGGAAUAAUAGAGUAGGACUUUGUCCUGUUUUGUUGGUUUGUGCGGGGCGAGUAAUGAUUAAGAGGGACGGUUGGGGGCAUUUGUAUUCCGGCGUCAGAGGUGAAAUUCUUGGAUUGGCGGAAGACAAACGGCUGCGAAAGCGUCUGCCAAGGACGUUUUCAUUGAUCAAGAACGAAAGUAAGGGGAUCGAAGACGAUCAGAUACCGUCGUAGUCUUUACUAUAAACGAUGAGGACUGGGGAUCGGGGAGGGGAAUGGACCUGCCCGGCACCCUUCGGGAAACCAAAGUGUUUGCUUUCUGGGGGGAGUAUGGUCGCAAGGCUGAAACUUAAAGGAAUUGACGGAAGGGCAUCACCGGGUGUGGAGCCUGCGGCUUAAUUUGACUCAACACGGGGAAACUUACCAGGUCCGGACAUGGGGAGGAAUGACAGAUUGAGAGCUCUUUCUUGAUUCUAUGGUUGGUGGUGCAUGGCCGUUCUUAGUUGGUGGAGUGAUCUGUCUGGUUAAUUCCGUUAACGAGCGAGACCUGGGCGUGCUAGCUAGGGGCGCGCAGCGGAUGCUGUGCGGGGCCCUUCCUAGACGGACUGGGGGCGUCUAGCCCGCGGAAGCUCCAGGCAAUAACAGGUCUGAGAUGCCCUUUGAUGUUCUGGGCCGCACGCGUGCUACACUGAGCAGGGCACUGGGCGCGGGGGUGCGAGAGCGCCGCCGAAUCCCGAGAGCUGCUCGUGCUGGGGAUCGAGGCUUGCAAUUUUCCCUCUUGAACGAGGAAUACCUUGUAAGCGUGGGUCAUCAUCCUGCGCUGAAUACGUCCCUGCCCUUUGUACACACCGCCCGUCGCUCCUACCGAUUGAGUGGUCCGGUGAGGUCUCAGGAGUGCGGCGCUGGGAGAAUGUUUGUUCUGCUGCGCUGUGUGAAUUUGAUCAAACCUUAUCACUUAGAGGAAGGAGAAGUCGUAACAAGGUUUCC